Non-coding RNA from Neurospora crassa OR74A, 1655 nucleotides. NCBI's taxonomy places the organism in Eukaryota, Fungi, Ascomycota, Sordariomycetes, Sordariales, Sordariaceae. The record is from RefSeq and is a predicted model, not a curated record.
CCCAACUCAAUUUUUACAAUGCCCUUCCACUUGUCCCGCGAUCCCAAGGCCAAGUUGGAGCUGCUUUUGGGCUUUGCAGUGCUCAUCUGAUGGCUCGGUGAUCGUCUCUCUGAUCCUCAAACACAAACACGCACCUCCAAACAACACCCCGUCGGCCUUUGGGCAGGUGAUGUCGAUGCCGAUGACGACGAAGGCAGCGGUGACGGCUUCACCUUCCGCAUGAAGAUGUCUUCUGCCGAGCUGUGGUUCAGCCCAGCCUAAAACUCUCCGUUGUUUGUUUUUCUUUUGUUUGGGAGCCCGUAAGUACAUCCCCUCCCGUAAGCCCAAACUGCCCGGAUCGUGCCUGAAAAACCCUGCAGGAGGUAGCUCCGGCGCCGCCGGCUUGACUUUUUCGAGUUAGGUAUUCGUUCUUCCUUGGCCGUCCAGGACUCCGGGACGGGUGAACUUUUCUUGGGACCCGAUCAGUUUAUUGAUGCCGUGGCUUCUGCAAUGGCUUCUUCGUAUGUUGGUUCCUUACCUCUAGGUGCUCGCUUUCUUUUCCAAGUUCCAACCCAUUGGUCUUCAUAUUCGGUUCUCUUUAGUCUGUCAUCACGUCGCUAAUGCCACUGUUUGUCCUGCUCUAGGCCGCUACCACAGCGGAAAUAUAGGGAGAGUGUUAAGGCUUGAGAGGGGGUUGCAAGGGUAGUUCCAAAUCUUAGAGUAGAUAACUGGCCCAGCCUUGUUGUGAGAUCUAGCACUAUUGGUUAAGGGAGGCCCCUGAUUGGUCGGAUUUAGGUGUAAAAUAAUAAAACCUAAAGACCCCUAUAGUGGCCUUCUGUAAAGGCUACUACAAGGGGUUUCCUUUCUUCUUUUUUUUUUUUUUUUUUUUUUUUUUUUUUUUUUUUUUUUUUUACUUAUUUGGGGGUAGGCAGGGGCUCGGAUGAAGGUAUUCACACUUUCACUUCGGCGAGACUUCUCGCGCGACGGAAAAAAAGUUGCCUUCGAUUGGAAUUGAACUAGCAACCACAAGAAAAAGAGCAACGAUAGAAACUAUUGAGCCACUAGCCCAAAUAAUUAAUAGAGCCGUUCGUUAUUGCCUUUAAUAUAGGGAAAUAAGAAGGUGGAAGAGGGGGGGGGGGGUAAAAAGGAAAGAACGGAGUAGUUCAGCCAAUAAGAGCCCUUCCUUGAACAAUAGUGCUAGGGAGCCAACAGUGCUAGAUUUCACAACAAGGCUUGUGAAGAUUGCAAGCGUUGAACCCCCCCAACAAGGCUUGAUGCGCUGGUGAUUUUCCCGCUAUGGUAUACACCGACCCAGUGAACAAGAGAGGAGGAUUUGCGUGACGGUGCCCGACUUCCUUCAAUUCAACGUGCUCCUCGACAUCCGCCACAAGUUCCCCAAUCCGGGGUUUGAUCAUCUUUCAUACAAGACGUGCCUUGAAGUAGGUAGAGGUACCUUAUGACACGGCAUUUCCCACUGGGAAACCGCUGGGGACUCGAUGGGAAGCCACUGCCUUGGUGCCCACAGGCAUGGGCUACUACCCAUAAGGCCUGUCAACAGAGCCUCAAGCUCCUUCGAGACUCAGAUGGAAUCAUCAUCAUCAGAAUUCAUUGAUUGAGAGCUACGCUGGUUUCCACGCAUCAUAUUAUCUAGACCUAAAUCAAGCAAGACAUCUUAC